Long non-coding RNA from Astatotilapia calliptera (eastern happy), 632 nucleotides. The record is from Ensembl. NCBI's taxonomy places the organism in Eukaryota, Metazoa, Chordata, Actinopteri, Cichliformes, Cichlidae.
AAGCGAAACCCCCUGGAAGUUACUUUGACAGACCUUCAGGCAGACACAAAGAUAAACUUAGAGCGAUAAAAAUGGCUAACCCCAAGCUAACAGGUAGCCUCUCCGACCAUGAUUACAACCUUGCUGCUAUGCGGGAAGCAUGUGAGGAUGAAGAUAUAGAAGAGAUGGAACUUCAGAAAGAGAUCGGAAGACCCAUAGGUGACCACACUCCGUUACCAAGUCCCAAUCCCAAAAAAAUGAAAAGCAAAAUAACUGAGAAGCAGAUCUUUCCCGGACCUUUCCCUGCCUGUAAUCCUGUGAAUGAGUGUGACCCAGUUAAGGAGUGAGGAGAGUGAUUUGGAGACCUUUUGGAGCACGUUUGAUCCCCUUCCCUCCCCUCACGGAUCCUGGAGCCCUGGACCCCCCUUCAGCACAUUGUAUACUCUGUCAGUGCGCCCCAGGGUGGCUGUGGCUACAAUGUAGCUUGCCAUCACCAGUGUGUGAAUGUGUGUGUGAAUGGGUGGAUGACUGGAUGUGUAAAGCGCUUUGGGGUCCUUAGGGACUAGUAAAGCGCUAUAUAAAUACAGGCCAUUUACCAUUUAUAUAUUAUCACCUGGUGUUGUCUGUAUAAAUAAAUUAACUGUCUUCUCUAA